Vigna angularis (adzuki bean) is the source of this 588-nucleotide long non-coding RNA. RefSeq lists it as uncharacterized. NCBI's taxonomy places the organism in Eukaryota, Viridiplantae, Streptophyta, Magnoliopsida, Fabales, Fabaceae. The record is from RefSeq and is a predicted model, not a curated record. The transcript is spliced from 3 exons.
CUCAAAGGGUCAAAGACACCCUGAUUUAGAAAGGGUUCUUUCAUUUUUCUAAUUCUGAGUCACUUUCUAGUUUUUUUCUCUUUCUCUCUCUAAACUCAGUUUUCUUCCUUCCUUCUCUGUCUUCUCUCUACCCUUACACUCAUUUGAACCGUUGAAAUUUCGAUUAGGUGGUAUUCUUUCGCUCACGGAGUUGAGGGCUUCCUAUCCAUCUGAUUAGUUUUCGAUUUGGACGGGUGGUUGUAGGACACUGUUUGGGUUUUCUCUGUGAAGGCACUGUUAGGGCACUCUAGUUGGCUAUAUUGCUCAACUUCAAGAAGGCGAAGCCACUUUGGAGGACGUGAUUGAAGAAGAAAACCUGAUUGAAGUGGAAGUCAAAGUCGAGCCUUAGAGCGCUCGUUCAUAUUAGAAGUUUAGACGUUAGCUUUUAUUUUGACGUUCGGUUGAUUGUUUUGUAAAGCCGUUCGUUCUAGACUUUCACUGUUCCAGCAUUGUGUAUUUCAGUUCUGUAUUUAAGCCGUUCGGCUUUUGAAAUUCGUUCUUUUAAUGUAAAGACUACAUUGUUUUACUGUUAAAUGUAAUUAAUUCUGA